UACGUAGGGGGCAAGCGUUGUCCGGAAUCAUUGGGCGUAAAGCGCGUGUAGGCGGCCAGGUAAGUCCGUUCUGAAAGCCCGGGGCUCAACCCCGGGAGGCGGAUGGAUACUGCUUGGCUCGAGUCCGGAAGAGGCGAGUGGAAUUCCCGGUGUAGCGGUGAAAUGCGCAGAUAUCGGGAGGAACACCAAUGGCGAAGGCAGCUCGCUGGGACGGUACUGACGCCGAGACGCGAAAGCGUGGGGAGCAAACAGG
Molecule: ribosomal RNA, 253 nt
Filed under: uncultured bacterium
Lineage: Bacteria
Description: partial 16S ribosomal RNA
Rfam family: Bacterial small subunit ribosomal RNA
Source: RNAcentral